AUUGAACGCUGGCGGAAUGCUUUACACAUGCAAGUCGAACGGCAGCACGGACUUCGGUCUGGUGGCGAGUGGCGAACGGGUGUGUAAUGUAUCGGAACGUGCCCAGUCGUGGGGGAUAACGUAGUGAAAAUUACGCUAAUACCGCAUACGAUCUAUGGAUGAAAGCGGGGGAUCGCAAGACCUCGCGCGAUUGGAGCGGCCGAUAUCAGAUUAGGUAGUUGGUGGGGUAAAGGCCCACCAAGCCAACGAUCUGUAGCUGGUCUGAGAGGACGACCAGCCACACUGGAACUGAGACACGGUCCAGACUCCUACGGGAGGCAGCAGUGGGGAAGUUUGGACAAUGGGCGAAAGCCUGAUCCAGCCAUUCCGCGUGCAGGAUGAAGGCCCUCGGGUUGUAAACUGCUUUUGUACAGAACGAAAAGGUUUCUACUAAUACUAGGAGCUCAUGACGGUACUGUAAGAAUAAGCACCGGCUAACUACGUGCCAGCAGCCGCGGUAA
This 500-nucleotide ribosomal RNA is filed under the name uncultured bacterium. RNAcentral's name for it is "partial 16S ribosomal RNA". It matches the Rfam family "Bacterial small subunit ribosomal RNA", at positions 30 to 523 of the family's 1533-position model. The record is from RNAcentral.